UACAGAGGUCUCAAGCGUUGUUCGGAUUCAUUGGGCGUAAAGGGCGCGUAGGCGGCAAGGCAAGUCGGGUGUGAAAGCUCGGGGCUUAACCCCGAAAGGGCACUCGAAACUGCGUUGCUAGAGGGCCGGAGAGGAGAUCGGAAUUCACGGUGUAGCAGUGAAAUGCGUAGAGCUCGUGAGGAAGACCGGUGGCGAAGGCGGAUCUCUGGACGGCCCCUGACGCUGAGGCGCGAAGGCUAGGGGAGCAAACGGG
This 253-nucleotide ribosomal RNA is filed under the name uncultured bacterium. RNAcentral's name for it is "partial 16S ribosomal RNA". It matches the Rfam family "Bacterial small subunit ribosomal RNA", at positions 524 to 776 of the family's 1533-position model. The record is from RNAcentral.